RNAcentral lists this ribosomal RNA (483 nucleotides) under uncultured bacterium. RNAcentral describes it as "partial 16S ribosomal RNA". It matches the Rfam family "Bacterial small subunit ribosomal RNA", at positions 28 to 523 of the family's 1533-position model. The record is from RNAcentral.
GACGAACGCUGGCGGCGUGCUUUACACAUGCAAGUCGAACGGUGAAGGUGGAGCUUGCUCCGCCGGAUCAGUGGCGAACGGGUGAGUAACACGUGGGCAGCCUGCCCCUGACUCUGGGAUAACUACUCGAAAGAGUAGCUAAUACCGGAUAUGAAGUCUGUAGGCAUCUAUGGAUUUGGAAAGUUUUUCGGUUAGGGAUGGGCCCGCGGCCUAUCAGCUUGUUGGUGAGGUAGUGGCUCACCAAGGCGACGACGGGUAGCCGGCCUGAGAGGGCGACCGGCCACACUGGGACUGAGACACGGCCCAGACUCCUACGGGAGGCAGCAGUGGGGAAUAUUGCGCAAUGGGCGAAAGCCUGACGCAGCAACGCCGCGUGCGGGAUGAAGGCCUUCGGGUUGUAAACCGCUUUCAGCAGGGAAGAAGCGAAAGUGACGGUACCUGCAGAAGAAGCACCGGCUAACUACGUGCCAGCCGCCGCGGUAA